This 908-nucleotide ribosomal RNA is filed under the name uncultured bacterium. Its description in RNAcentral is "bacterial SSU rRNA". It matches the Rfam family "Bacterial small subunit ribosomal RNA", at positions 33 to 932 of the family's 1533-position model. The record is from RNAcentral.
ACGCUGGCGGCAGGCUUAACACAUGCAAGUCGAACGGUAACAGGGAUUAGCUUGCUAAUCUGCUGACGAGUGGCGGACGGGUGAGUAAUGCUUGGGAAUCUGGCUUAUGGAGGGGGAUAACUACGGGAAACUGUAGCUAAUACCGCGUAAAAUCUUCGGAUUAAAGGGUGGGACUUUCGAGCCACCUGCCAUAAGAUGAGCCCAAGUGGGAUUAGGUAGUUGGUUAGGUAAAGGCUGACCAAGCCGACGAUCUCUAGCUGGUCUGAGAGGAUGACCAGCCACACUGGAACUGAGACACGGUCCAGACUCCUACGGGAGGCAGCAGUGGGGAAUAUUGCACAAUGGGGGGAACCCUGAUGCAGCCAUGCCGCGUGAAUGAAGAAGGCCUUCGGGUUGUAAAGUUCUUUCGGUGACGAGGAAGGUUGGUAGGUUAAUAGCCUAUCAAAUUGACGUUAAUCACAGAAGAAGCACCGGCUAACUCCGUGCCAGCAGCCGCGGUAAUACGGGGGGUGCGAGCGUUAAUCGGAAUAACUGGGCGUAAGGGGCACGCAGGCGGUGACUUAAGUGAGAUGUGAAAGCCCCGAGCUUAACUUGGGAAUUGCAUUUCAUACUGGGUCGCUAGAGUACUUUAGGGAGGGGUAGAAUUCCACGUGUAGCGGUGAAAUGCGUAGAGAUGUGGAGGAAUACCGAAGGCGAAGGCAGCCCCUUGGGAAUGUACUGACGCUCAUGUGCGAAAGCGUGGGGAGCAAACAGGAUUAGAUACCCUGGUAGUCCACGCUGUAAACGAUGUCGAUUUGGGGAUUGGGCUUUGAGCUUGGUGCCCGUAGCUAACGUGAUAAAUCGACCGCCUGGGGAGUACGGCCGCAAGGUUAAAACUCAAAUGAAUUGACGGGGGCCCGCACAAGCGG